UACGGAGGGUGCGAGCGUUAAUCGGAAUUACUGGGCGUAAAGGGUGCGUAGGUGGUUGGAUAAGUUAUCUGUGAAAGCCCCGGGCUCAACCUGGGAAGGUCAGAUAAGACUGUUCGACUCGAGUAUAGGAGAGGGUAGUGGAAUUUCCGGUGUAGCGGUGAAAUGCGUAGAGAUCGGAAGGAACACCAGUGGCGAAGGCGGCUACCUGGCCUGAUACUGACACUGAAGCACGAAAGCGUGGGGAGCAAACAGG
This 253-nucleotide ribosomal RNA is filed under the name bacterium. RNAcentral describes it as "partial 16S ribosomal RNA". It matches the Rfam family "Bacterial small subunit ribosomal RNA", at positions 524 to 776 of the family's 1533-position model. The record is from RNAcentral. RNAcentral also lists the same sequence under 1 other name.